This 497-nucleotide ribosomal RNA is filed under the name uncultured bacterium. RNAcentral's name for it is "partial 16S ribosomal RNA". It matches the Rfam family "Bacterial small subunit ribosomal RNA", at positions 28 to 507 of the family's 1533-position model. The record is from RNAcentral.
GAUGAACGCUGGCGGCGUGCCUAAUACAUGCAAGUCGAGCGAACAGAUGAGGAGCUUGCUCCUCUGACGUUAGCGGCGGACGGGUGAGUAACACGUGGAUAACCUACCUAUAAGACUGGGAUAACUUCGGGAAACCGGAGCUAAUACCGGAUAAUAUAUUGAACCGCAUGGUUCAAUAGUGAAAGACGGUUUUGCCGUCACUUAUAGAUGGAUCCGCGCCGCAUUAGCUAGUUGGUAAGGUAACGGCUUACCAAGGCAACGAUGCGUAGCCGACCUGAGAGGGUGAUCGGCCACACUGGAACUGAGACACGGUCCAGACCCCUACGGGAGGCAGCAGUAGGGAAUCUUCCGCAAUGAGCGAAAGCCUGACGGAGCAACGCCGCGUGAGUGAUGAAGGUCUUCGGAUCGUAAAACUCUGUUAUUGGGGAAGAACAAAUGUGUAAGUAACUAUGCACGUCUUGACGGUACCUAAUCAGAAAGCCACGGCUAACUACGUG